ACAUAUUUUAGAGCUAAAAUCAUUUUUAUUAAAUAAUAAAAAUUACUUUCAAAUCCAAAUUCAACCUACUAUAAAAAUAAGUAUCCUAAAAUAAAUUAAAUGUAACCCAUUUUUUCUUUCCUAUAAACUACACCUUGAUCUGAAUUAAUUUCUUAAUAAAAUUUUAAAUAUUAAAUUUCUAAAAAAAUAUUUAUAUAACAACGGUAUGCAAACUAAAAAGAAAAGUAAAUUUAAUCGUGGAUUAUCAUUUACAAAACAGGUUCCUCUGAAAAGAUAAAAUACCGCCAAAAUUUUUAAUUUUCAAGAAUAUAUCUAAUACUAAUUUAAUGAUUCUAAUUACAUUCUUAAUAAUAGGGUAUCUAAUCCUAGUUUACAAAUAAAAUUUUUCAACCUCAUUAACCAAUAAAAAAUUUUUUAAAAAUUUAAAUUUCACCUUAUAAUUUUUAAUUAAAAUUUUUAAUUUCAAUUAAUUGUUAUUAAUAAAGUUAAAUUGGAUUAUUUGUAUAACCGCA
This 512-nucleotide ribosomal RNA is filed under the name Arsipoda yiambiae. RNAcentral's name for it is "partial 12S ribosomal RNA". The record is from RNAcentral. Lineage: Eukaryota; Metazoa; Arthropoda; Insecta; Coleoptera; Chrysomelidae.